AUUGAACGCUGGCGGCAUGCCUUACACAUGCAAGUCGAACGGUAACAGGUCUUCGGAUGCUGACGAGUGGCGAACGGGUGAGUAAUACAUCGGAACGUGCCCGAUCGUGGGGGAUAACGAAGCGAAAGCUUUGAUAAUACCGCAUACGAUCUACGGAUGAAAGCAGGGGACCGCAAGGACUUGCGCGAACGGAGCGGCCGUGGGCAGAUUAGGUGGUUGGUGGGAUAAGGCUUACCAAGCCGACGAUCUGUAGCUGGUCUGAGAGGACGACCAGCCACACCGGGACUGAGACACGGCCCAGACUCCUACGGGAGGCAGCAGUGGGGAAUUUUGGACAAUGGGCGAAAGCCUGAUCCAGCCAUGCCGCGUGCAGGAUGAAGGCCUUCGGGUUGUAAACUGCUUUUGUACGGAACGAAAAGACUCUGGUUAAUACCUGGGGUCCAUGACGGUACCGUAAGAAUAAGCACCGGCUAACUACGUGCCAGCCGCCGCCGUAA
This 497-nucleotide ribosomal RNA is filed under the name uncultured bacterium. RNAcentral's name for it is "partial 16S ribosomal RNA". It matches the Rfam family "Bacterial small subunit ribosomal RNA", at positions 30 to 523 of the family's 1533-position model. The record is from RNAcentral.